GUUUCUGACCUAGAUAUCUCUCUACCCAGUACUCCUGCAUCUUUUCACCCCGAGAUCCCUUCACACACCUCACAUACAUUUUUUGAUCCUGCUCAUCUUUCAUUUACUCCACCAUCCUUUGAUCUCGGCCCUGAUUUCAAUCAAACCCCUCCUGUCAUGCACACGCAAUCCCCAUCGUACAACAUUGGUCAUAUAGACCAUGUACCGCCCCAUAGUCACUCCAUGUCAUUCAUGCCCACUCCUAGACUGCAUAUAGAUCCCAUGAGUACGGGCACUCACAUUUCAUUUGCUACACCAUCCUCCCCCGCAGUUGUUGGGAGUCAAGCAAAACAACCAGCUGUGCAUGUUGAGAAUGAGCAGGUUGUUGGGUUACAGUCACCCCCACAAGGUCGACCUAAACGUACAAUGAAAGCACCUCCUUGUGGGACAGGUGGUCACAAAGCAGGACACAACGCUGGCCCCACGCAACGUGAGGAGCCUCACGAAGGAGAUGCAGUACCCCCUCCCCCACAUACCAGACACUAUACGAGACAGCAUAAGCGUAAAAUGCAUUAGGAUUAGCAUCCCAUAGAGAAACAAAGGAGGACACUCGAGAAUUGGAGUUUCUGACCCUAAGUGAUGAUCAGCACUUAGCUUAGAAAACACCUCACUCUUUCUAGGUUGGACCUGAAAAUGCUUCACAGGUUUGUCCAGCCCCGUACUGAAUGAAGGGGAGCUUGAGUCCUUGCUAAAUGAUCCCUCUUUGAAACCUCAAGUUUUGCCAACAUUUUUUGAUAUUCGUAAAGGAGUUGAUGGUUCCUUGGAAAAGACACUAAAUAUAUAUAGUGAAGCUGCUGAUGAAGCUGUUCGAAAUGGUUCCCAACUGCUUGUUCUGUCAGACCGUUCUGAUGUGCUGGAACCAACUCGUCCGGCAGUUCCAAUACUUCUGGCUGUUGGUGCGGUUCAUCAGCAUCUUAUUCAGAAUGGAUUGCGAAUGUCAGCUUCUAUUGUUGCAGAGACUGCACAAUGCUUCAGCACUCAUCAGUUUGCCUGUUUGGUUGGAUUUGGUGCAAGUGCCAUAUGUCCAUACUUGGCACUAGAAACAUGCCGACAGUGGCGUCUGAGUAAUAAAACCGUAAACAAUUAUGAGGAAUGGAAAGAUGCCUACUGUAACAAUUGAGCAGGCUCAAAAGAACUUUUGCAAGGCUGUUAAAUCCGGUCUUCUCAAAAUUCUUUCCAAAAUGGGAAUCUCAUUGCUUUCUAGGCUUAAGCAAGGGAGAAAGCUGAAAAAGAGGGAUUUGAAGUAAGCAAUCCCAAGACCCAAAAUUUGGUGGCUAACACAAAGGCCCUAGCAGAAAAUGAAGGGGAGGGACUUGCCAAGCACAGUUGAAGAGUUGGUGGAAGUGGGUCCUGAACAGUUAAAGGAGGUACUUAAUAUACCGACUAAGAUGAAUGAGCUGUUGGUGCCAUAUUGUCAGCAACUGAUUCAGUUUGCACGCUGCAGGGACAAGGAGCUUGUCAUUUCCUUCAAUGGGAGGAUACUCAAGAAAUUACCACAAUUAAUGAUCUUGUAGAUGAAAGCAAACAUGGCAUAUCUGUAGAUUCUACUUCAACAAGCCAUGAGUUAGUCACUAAAAUGGGUGAUUUGAGUACUAAUAAUUGAAAGAGGAAGUUUGAUUCACUAGAGAUGGAAAAUCCUCAACAUCUCCCAACUUCUGUGGCUGUACAUGAACAUUUUGAGAAAGAUCAAGAGCCUGUCAUAGAGAGGAGUGAACAUGAUGAGAGUUCAGAGAAUUUAACAUCUACAAAGUAUAUUGAUCCAUCACGAGUUGAGGACUCUUCAAAUCUCCAA
Long non-coding RNA from Quercus robur (English oak), 1831 nucleotides. RefSeq lists it as uncharacterized. Lineage: Eukaryota; Viridiplantae; Streptophyta; Magnoliopsida; Fagales; Fagaceae. The record is from RefSeq and is a predicted model, not a curated record. The transcript has 12 exons.